Corvus hawaiiensis (hawaiian crow) is the source of this 3046-nucleotide long non-coding RNA. RefSeq lists it as uncharacterized. The record is from RefSeq and is a predicted model, not a curated record. The transcript has 3 exons. Lineage: Eukaryota; Metazoa; Chordata; Aves; Passeriformes; Corvidae.
UGAGGGCGCAGCCCCCUCCAGGGGCGGCCCGGCCCCGCCCUGGGGACGCCGGGCGCCAAUGGGGCGGGAGCUGCUGCUGCAGUCGUGAUCCCCUCGUCUCGUCAUCCCCGCGCCCUUUCUCAGGAGGUAGUGGAAUGUGGCUGCCUCGGGUUCACGCAGUGACCUCAGGACAACCCCAGGGAAAACGCGUUCCUCGGGGCACGAAGGUUUCAUCCUCUUUUCAGUCAUAAACGGUGGAAUUAAAAAAAAAAAAUUCUGCCUUGUUGACUUCAGAAUCGUCAAGCACUUUAUGUGAAGCGUGCCCUUAAGCUAUCCUCUACAAGACCCAGAUUUGAGUGUCUGCAUGAUGAAGAUGUGAAAGAAGAAACUGAGCGAUAUUGAACAUCACAGAUGAGAUUGAUAAGGAAUAUGGCUCUUACCAUUGGGAAGUAUUUAGGGGUACUGAAGAAGGAUCAGAAAUUGUUCUAUGAAAGGAAGAAGGGAGGACAAAGCAAAGACUGGAAGAUUUGGAAACCCUGAAAACAGACACCAGAUAUUUGCCAUGCACAACAAAAAGAGCAAAAGGGUUGGGCAGCAGCUCUGAUGCCUGAUUAAGGCUGUUGUAUGUCUAUACUGUACAUUAUAAAGAGCUGAUAACCAUAUAUUAGUGACUGGUGUUAAGUUGAUCUUUUGCAUGUAAUGUGUUAUUCAAGCAGUUUCCCCAAUAAUGUGACACAUGUUUAAGGAGACCACAGGAAAAAAAAGACUAGUGACCUUUCUGUCCUUCAGCAGAUAAAAAUUUUAUCAUACCUUUUCUAUUUCUUUAUUCUAUAUUGACAGCUUGCCUCCCCAUGUGGUCAAGUUCUCCUGAACGAAUUUUGAUUUUGUAGAGUUACUACCAAAGCUGUAAUCACAGCUGGGUUGAACACCAUGCCUCACCAGCCCAAGGCAACUCAAAUUCAUUGUUUCGUGGGACCCAGUGGCAAACAUAAUUUACAGCAUCCCUGACCCUGUUGAAAACACUCCUUUUUUCCUGACCUCUUUCAGUUUGAAGAAGAUAAAAGCUGUCACAGUUCUCUUCAGGCAGUAACUUUUCAAUAGCCAUUGGUGAAAAGCACUAUAUUUAAAGUUCUGUGCUUUCUUAUAUGGAACAACGUAGACUUUUGGGGAAUUACACAAUCCUUUUGUAAAGUUCUUUCUCACUAAUCUACAGCUCUGCUAUUAAAGGUAUCCUUGGAGAGAUUUAGGAAAGCAAUUGUUUGCUCCACUUCAAAUUAAAAGAAAUAAAGAAAAGGACGUGAAUUCAGCACUGUUAUUAUCUCAAUAACAGGAGUGGUAUAUACUUUGUCAUAAAUAUAUUUUCUUGUGUUGGAGUGGGCAACAAUUUUUUUUCUCCUAAAAAUAACCUUCACUCUUUUGCACAGCUCUCCUCUGGCCUGUAGGUGUCAUAGUCAGAAUAUGGAUGAAAUAGAUAAAUAUUAGUCUACUUACAUGAAAUAACUUUCUGAAAAGCAAUGUUGUUGUUAGAUAAGCACUGUUAUUUAUUGAAACUUUGUAAGUGGAGAAACAACUCUAGUAUGUAGACAAUAUAUGGAUUUCACUGCACAUUCUCUAUCUACGAAGAUGAAGGUUCUCAUGUUUCUUGGGUAAAAAACCAUUUUUCUCAAAAUUCUUAACUUGAUGCCUCCAGCUCUGAACUUGCCUGUCUUGAUCCCGCUCUUUGUCCAUUUUUCCUUUCACCCUUGCUUCUUAAUAUCUAACUCAGAUAAGACCCAGAGAAGUGACUGAAAAUAUUAAAGAGCAGCAUGUUCCUAUGCUAGGAGUAGAGUGUUGGACUGUAGGUGUAAUAAAGCCACAGGAUGAAGCACCAGUGAAUGCUUGGGAAAGCUGCCUGGCCAGUAUGGUGGUCAGGACCAAUUCCAUGAUGGAGUGAUGGCAACAGCAAUGGAAGACCGACAGAUGUCAUCUAUCAAGACUUCUGUAAGGCCUUUGACAUGGUACCACAAGAUAUCCUUAUCUCCAAAUUGGAGGGACAUGGAUUUGAUGGAUGGACUCUCCAGUGGAUAAGGAAUUGGCUGGAUGGACGUAGCCAGAAAGUUGUGGUCAAUGGCUCUAUGUCCAGGUAGAGGUCAGUGAUCAGUGGUGUCCCUCAGGGCUCUGUCUUGGGAUGGUGCUCUUUAUCAAUGAAAUAGUGAGAUCAAGUGCACCCUCAGCAAGUUUAGAGAUCUGUGAACCUGAGCAGUGCAGUUGGCACAAUAGAAAGAUGGGCAUCCAUGGGACAUGGACAAACUUGAUAAGUGGGCCCAUAGAAAUCCCAUUAAGUUCAACAAAUCCAGGUACAAAGUGCUGCCCCUGGGUUGGGGCAAUCCCAGACAAGAGUCCAGACUGGGAGAAGAACUUGCUGAGAGCAGCCCUGCUGAGGACUUGGAGGUUCUGGUGGAUGAAAAGCUGGACACAAGCCAAGGAAUCCACUUGCAGCCCAGAAGGCCAAUGGUAUCCUGGGCAUUAUCAAAAGAGGGGUGGCCAGCAAAUCAAGGUAGUUGAUUGUCCCCCUCUACUCUGCCCUCAUGGGACCCCACUUCACCAUGCACUUUACUCCUGACUGUUACCCAUUAAUCAGCUCUAACACAUAGAGCACCAUGUGCUGGGAGAUUAUGAGAGUUUUGCUUGUUUUCUAAGACACCUCCAUCCCAGACACUAGAUAUGUCUGCCAGACACUAUAUGCUAUUAGGAGGAAACUGGAAGGGGGGUUGCCUUGUGGUCUCUUAUUUCAGUCUGUUGGUGGGCAGUCUGGUAAGAAAGUGGUGCUGAAACUUACUGUGUACCUUGCCACUGGCACCGUGCUUGAAUUGCUGUUGAAGGUAAAGGUGCUCAAAGUCAGCUAUUUAAUUGUGAAAGAGCGGGACAUAAGGCUACUACCCAUCAUUUACAAUGGAAAGAAUAUUAGUUUAAGUUUUGGAAAUCUGGGGUUAGUUCUGGAUAUACCCACAAAGCUCGCAAAUUGUUCUGAUAUACACAAGUCUGAGUUUUGUAGAGAGUUUUAUUUUUCUUAUUGCUCAAACUAAUA